RNAcentral lists this ribosomal RNA (510 nucleotides) under Orius agilis. Its description in RNAcentral is "partial 16S ribosomal RNA". Lineage: Eukaryota; Metazoa; Arthropoda; Insecta; Hemiptera; Anthocoridae. The record is from RNAcentral.
UCAAAAACAUGUCUUUUUGUGUUUUAAUUUAAAGUCAGGCCUGCCCAAUGAUUUAUUUAAUGGCCGCAGUAUACUAACUGUGCAAAGGUAGCAUAAUCAUUUGUUAUUUAAUUGAUAACUGGUAUGAAUGGUUUUAUAAAAAAUAUUCUUUUUUUAUUUUUUAUUUAAAAUUUUAUUUUAAAGUUAAAAAGCUUUAAUUUUUUUAUUAGACGAUAAGACCCUUUAGAACUUUAAUUUAUUUAUUAAUUAUAUUUUUAGAUUUUUAAAUAUAAAUAAUUUAUAUAUUUGUGUUGGGGUGACAGCUAAUUUUUAAGAACUUUAAUUUUAAUUUCUCAUUUAUACAUGAUUUUUUUGAUCCAAUUAUUUUUGAUUAUAAGAUUAAGUUACCUUAGGGAUAACAGCGUAAUUUUGUUGGAGAGUUCUUAUUAAUAACAAAGUUUGCGACCUCGAUGUUGGAUUAAAAUAAUAUUUUGGUGUAGAAGCUAAUUUUAUUAGUCUUCCCACUACACU